This 2879-nucleotide ribosomal RNA is filed under the name Pseudomonas aeruginosa. RNAcentral describes it as "bacterial LSU rRNA". It matches the Rfam family "Bacterial large subunit ribosomal RNA". The record is from RNAcentral. Lineage: Bacteria; Pseudomonadati; Pseudomonadota; Gammaproteobacteria; Pseudomonadales; Pseudomonadaceae.
AGAAGCGCAUACGGUGGAUGCCUUGGCAGUCAGAGGCGAUGAAAGACGUGGUAGCCUGCGAAAAGCUUCGGGGAGUCGGCAAACAGACUUUGAUCCGGAGAUCUCUGAAUGGGGGAACCCACCUAGGAUAACCUAGGUAUCUUGUACUGAAUCCAUAGGUGCAAGAGGCGAACCAGGGGAACUGAAACAUCUAAGUACCCUGAGGAAAAGAAAUCAACCGAGAUUCCCUUAGUAGUGGCGAGCGAACGGGGAUUAGCCCUUAAGCUUCAUUGAUUUUAGCGGAACGCUCUGGAAAGUGCGGCCAUAGUGGGUGAUAGCCCCGUACGCGAAAGGAUCUUUGAAGUGAAAUCGAGUAGGACGGAGCACGAGAAACUUUGUCUGAACAUGGGGGGACCAUCCUCCAAGGCUAAAUACUACUGACUGACCGAUAGUGAACCAGUACCGUGAGGGAAAGGCGAAAAGAACCCCGGAGAGGGGAGUGAAAUAGAACCUGAAACCGUAUGCGUACAAGCAGUGGGAGCCUACUUGUUAGGUGACUGCGUACCUUUUGUAUAAUGGGUCAGCGACUUAUAUUCAGUGGCAAGCUUAACCGUAUAGGGUAGGCGUAGCGAAAGCGAGUCUUAAUAGGGCGUUUAGUCGCUGGGUAUAGACCCGAAACCGGGCGAUCUAUCCAUGAGCAGGUUGAAGGUUAGGUAACACUGACUGGAGGACCGAACCCACUCCCGUUGAAAAGGUAGGGGAUGACUUGUGGAUCGGAGUGAAAGGCUAAUCAAGCUCGGAGAUAGCUGGUUCUCCUCGAAAGCUAUUUAGGUAGCGCCUCAUGUAUCACUCUGGGGGGUAGAGCACUGUUUCGGCUAGGGGGUCAUCCCGACUUACCAAACCGAUGCAAACUCCGAAUACCCAGAAGUGCCGAGCAUGGGAGACACACGGCGGGUGCUAACGUCCGUCGUGAAAAGGGAAACAACCCAGACCGCCAGCUAAGGUCCCAAAGUUGUGGUUAAGUGGUAAACGAUGUGGGAAGGCUUAGACAGCUAGGAGGUUGGCUUAGAAGCAGCCAUCCUUUAAAGAAAGCGUAAUAGCUCACUAGUCGAGUCGGCCUGCGCGGAAGAUGUAACGGGGCUCAAACCACACACCGAAGCUGCGGGUGUCACGUAAGUGACGCGGUAGAGGAGCGUUCUGUAAGCCUGUGAAGGUGAGUUGAGAAGCUUGCUGGAGGUAUCAGAAGUGCGAAUGCUGACAUGAGUAACGACAAUGGGUGUGAAAAACACCCACGCCGAAAGACCAAGGGUUCCUGCGCAACGUUAAUCGACGCAGGGUUAGUCGGUUCCUAAGGCGAGGCUGAAAAGCGUAGUCGAUGGGAAACAGGUUAAUAUUCCUGUACUUCUGGUUACUGCGAUGGAGGGACGGAGAAGGCUAGGCCAGCUUGGCGUUGGUUGUCCAAGUUUAAGGUGGUAGGCUGAAAUCUUAGGUAAAUCCGGGGUUUCAAGGCCGAGAGCUGAUGACGAGUCGUCUUUUAGAUGACGAAGUGGUUGAUGCCAUGCUUCCAAGAAAAGCUUCUAAGCUUCAGGUAACCAGGAACCGUACCCCAAACCGACACAGGUGGUCGGGUAGAGAAUACCAAGGCGCUUGAGAGAACUCGGGUGAAGGAACUAGGCAAAAUGGCACCGUAACUUCGGGAGAAGGUGCGCCGGCUAGGGUGAAGGAUUUACUCCGUAAGCUCUGGCUGGUCGAAGAUACCAGGCCGCUGCGACUGUUUAUUAAAAACACAGCACUCUGCAAACACGAAAGUGGACGUAUAGGGUGUGACGCCUGCCCGGUGCCGGAAGGUUAAUUGAUGGGGUUAGCGCAAGCGAAGCUCUUGAUCGAAGCCCCGGUAAACGGCGGCCGUAACUAUAACGGUCCUAAGGUAGCGAAAUUCCUUGUCGGGUAAGUUCCGACCUGCACGAAUGGCGUAACGAUGGCGGCGCUGUCUCCACCCGAGACUCAGUGAAAUUGAAAUCGCUGUGAAGAUGCAGUGUAUCCGCGGCUAGACGGAAAGACCCCGUGAACCUUUACUGUAGCUUUGCACUGGACUUUGAGCCUGCUUGUGUAGGAUAGGUGGGAGGCUUUGAAGCGUGGACGCCAGUUCGCGUGGAGCCAUCCUUGAAAUACCACCCUGGCAUGCUUGAGGUUCUAACUCUGGUCCGUAAUCCGGAUCGAGGACAGUGUAUGGUGGGCAGUUUGACUGGGGCGGUCUCCUCCUAAAGAGUAACGGAGGAGUACGAAGGUGCGCUCAGACCGGUCGGAAAUCGGUCGCAGAGUAUAAAGGCAAAAGCGCGCUUGACUGCGAGACAGACACGUCGAGCAGGUACGAAAGUAGGUCUUAGUGAUCCGGUGGUUCUGUAUGGAAGGGCCAUCGCUCAACGGAUAAAAGGUACUCCGGGGAUAACAGGCUGAUACCGCCCAAGAGUUCAUAUCGACGGCGGUGUUUGGCACCUCGAUGUCGGCUCAUCACAUCCUGGGGCUGAAGCCGGUCCCAAGGGUAUGGCUGUUCGCCAUUUAAAGUGGUACGCGAGCUGGGUUUAGAACGUCGUGAGACAGUUCGGUCCCUAUCUGCCGUGGACGUUUGAGAUUUGAGAGGGGCUGCUCCUAGUACGAGAGGACCGGAGUGGACGAACCUCUGGUGUUCCGGUUGUCACGCCAGUGGCAUUGCCGGGUAGCUAUGUUCGGAAAAGAUAACCGCUGAAAGCAUCUAAGCGGGAAACUUGCCUCAAGAUGAGAUCUCACUGGGAACUUGAUUCCCCUGAAGGGCCGUCGAAGACUACGACGUUGAUAGGCUGGGUGUGUAAGCGUUGUGAGGCGUUGAGCUAACCAGUACUAAUUGCCCGUGAGGCUUGACC